UACGUAGGGUGCAAGCGUUGUCCGGAAUUAUUGGGCGUAAAGAGCUCGUAGGCGGUUUGUUGCGUCGGCUGUGAAAUCCCGAGGCUCAACCUCGGGUCUGCAGUCGAUACGAGCAAACUAGAGUGUUGCAGGGGAGACUGGAAUUCCUGGUGUAGCGGUGAAAUGCGCAGAUAUCAGGAGGAACACCGGUGGCGAAGGCGGGUCUCUGGGCCAUUACUGACACUGAGAAGCGAAAGCAUGGGGAGCGAACAGG
RNAcentral lists this ribosomal RNA (253 nucleotides) under uncultured bacterium. RNAcentral's name for it is "partial 16S ribosomal RNA". It matches the Rfam family "Bacterial small subunit ribosomal RNA", at positions 524 to 776 of the family's 1533-position model. The record is from RNAcentral.